This 641-nucleotide unclassified non-coding RNA is filed under the name Hevea brasiliensis (rubber tree). Lineage: Eukaryota; Viridiplantae; Streptophyta; Magnoliopsida; Malpighiales; Euphorbiaceae. The record is from RNAcentral.
UCUUUGUAAUUGUACCAGAAUUUGCAACUUCAAACUGUACAUUUCUUGUUUGAGUCUUGUAAAUGGUGCCAAAGAGGCCUUUUCACGGUGAUUCUGGGGAUGGGACUGAUUCUCCAGCUCAAGACCCAAAGCGUUUAAAGAAUGCCAUCAGAGAUGUUUUGGGAUUGCUUUCAAUGCAGGAUAUGGUUACUAGGAUUGAACCUUUCCUCAGACUAGUGGUGCGAGAUGAGGUAGAACGGACUGUUCAACGAGUCCUUCAAUUUCAACCGUCCUUCAGACCCUCGUUCCAUCAGACUGACACAUCAGGAGCAAGAGGCUUUCUGCUGCAAUUCGUUAACAGACCACCCGCUACCAUAUUUACUGGUAGCAAUAUAGAAACUGAGGAUGGUAACCCCAUUAGGAUUGAAUUGUUGGAUGCUAAUAGCAAGACCCUCGUCACUUCUGGUCCUCUGUCUUCUAUGAAGAUUGAGAUUCUUGUCCUUGAUGGUGAUUUCGGUUUGGAUGACCGAGAAGAUUGGAGUGAAAAUGAAUUCAAUGCCAAUGUUAUCCGUGAAAGAGAGGGUAGAAGGCCUCUGGUGACUGGAGGAGAUUUAAAUGUUACACUAAGAGCUGGAAUUGGCAUGAUUAGUGAUAUAAUUUUC